GUCCCGGCCCUAAACGGUGCAUGUUUGCUGUAGGAGGAAUCGACCCCUUCUGUGGCGAAGCUAACGCGAUAAACAUGCCGCCUGGGGAGUACGGUCGCAAGAUUAAAACUCAAAGAAAUUGACGGGGGCCUGCACAAGCGGUGGAGUAUGUGGCUUAAUUCGAUGCAACGCGAAGAACCUUACCUGGCCUUGACAUGCAUUUGGUAGAACCAUGAAAGUGGGACGACCCCGCAAGGGGAGGAUGCACAGGUGCUGCAUGGCUGUCGU
RNAcentral lists this ribosomal RNA (267 nucleotides) under uncultured bacterium. RNAcentral describes it as "partial 16S ribosomal RNA". It matches the Rfam family "Bacterial small subunit ribosomal RNA", at positions 793 to 1055 of the family's 1533-position model. The record is from RNAcentral.